CUGCCCCUCUGCCUGCUUGUGCUCUCACUCCCUCUCUCUCUCUCAAAUAAAUAAAUAAAAUCUUUCAAUUAAUUAAUUAAUUGUUAGACUUAGGGUAAAGCAGAUUGCACUCCAAAAUGUGGGUGGCCCCCAUCUAAUCAGUUAAAGGCUCACAUAGAACAAAAGACUUGACCUCCCACAAGCAAGAGGGGAUUCUCCAGCUUGACAACCUUCAGACUUGAACCACGACGUCACCUCUUCCCUGAGUGUCUAGCCUACCAGCCCACCCUGUAGACUCUGGACUGCCAACCUCCAUAAUCACAUGAGUUAAUUCCUUAAAAUGAGUCUUUCUCUCUACAUAUACACAUCCUAAUGACUCUGUUUCUUUGGAGAACCAUGAAUAUUACAGUCUGCUAAAGUGAUUAAUUCUGAAGACAGAACAGUGAACAGAACGGACCCAGUCUAUGACCUCACUGAAUUUACAUUCUAGUGGGAAGAGUAAACAAUAAAUAAGAAACACACACAACAUUAAACAUGCCAUUGAGAGGUGUUUGCGAGUGUGUGGAACCCCAGGGCACAGAUCUGACUGGCCGGAAGGCAUAGCUGGAUAAAGAUCAGGGCAGAGCUGCUUUCAGUGAGGAUGAAAGGAACCCAACUGGCCUGCUCUUAUCUCCAGACAGCUAACCCCUGGCAUUUGGCUGCCAGGCUAAGCCUCCCCCUUAGCCCUCAAGGCCAGGCAAGGUAACAAGGUAGGAGUUCAUUUCUACUUUUUUUUCCUCCCAGCUCCAUAGCCAGACCUGGGUUCCAGGGAAAACCUCCAGCACCUUCCUGAAGCCUCCCAGAACUUUGCUGUUGAUAGGUUCUGAUGUCAGAAGGGGCCACAGGCCUCAGAAGCAGCCAGGCCUAGGACCUUCUGCCUCCCUCACAGGGACUCCUGUUCUUCCACAGCCCAGGUUACAUAAGAUUUCUCCUCACCUGCUUCCACAGGACCAGCCUCCUCCUCAAAUUAUGGUCCAGAUAGCAAAUAAUCUCCAAAACCACUUAAUGAUGAUUCCUGACUCCAUUAAGGUAAGUUUAAGUGCUUUGUUUAGAUCCUGUGUUACUGAGCCACCAAGAGAGAGAAAGGGACCAUUUCCCCCCUGCAGUUCCUUCUCCGGGCCACGAGGCCUUCACUGUCCACUUAAGCUGGAAGACAUCACUCCUGGGGUGCCUGGGCGGCUCAGGCAGUUGAGCAGCCGACUCUUGAUUUCAGCUCAGGUCAUGAUAUCCGGGUCCUGGGAUCGAGCCCCACAUUGGACUCCCUGUUCAAGCAAGAGUCUGCUCCAGGAUUCUUCCUCUCCCUCUGCCUCUCCCCCUGAUUGCUCGUGCUCUCUCUAAAAUAAAUAAAUACAUCUAAAAAAAAGAAAGAGAGAA
This 1392-nucleotide long non-coding RNA is filed under the name Vulpes vulpes (red fox). RNAcentral's name for it is "lncRNA (ENSVVUG00000012657.1)". The record is from RNAcentral. Lineage: Eukaryota; Metazoa; Chordata; Mammalia; Carnivora; Canidae.